This is a small nucleolar RNA of Elgaria multicarinata webbii, 142 nucleotides long. RefSeq annotates it as small nucleolar RNA SNORA57. The record is from RefSeq and is a predicted model, not a curated record. The transcript has a single exon. Lineage: Eukaryota; Metazoa; Chordata; Lepidosauria; Squamata; Anguidae.
CCUCCUUUUCUUGGCAGGCCUGGGCUACUCAGGUCCCAGCUCUGUUAUGUCCGGAGGUAAAGCAAAGCCCACCCAGUGUUCUGUCUUCGGUGCCAGCGGCGUUACCAUCUGCUGGUUUCUAUCCUCAAGUGCUGGGACAAAA